This 372-nucleotide ribosomal RNA is filed under the name uncultured organism. RNAcentral's name for it is "bacterial SSU rRNA". It matches the Rfam family "Bacterial small subunit ribosomal RNA", at positions 526 to 896 of the family's 1533-position model. The record is from RNAcentral.
CGUAGGGGGCUAGCGUUGUCCGGAUUCAUUGGGCGUAAAGCGCGUGUAGGCGGCCAGAUAGGUCUGCUGUGAAAACUCGAGGCUCAACCUCGAGCUGUCGGCGGAAACCAUUUGGCUAGAGUCCGGAAGAGGAGAGUGGAAUUCCCGGUGUAGCGGUGAAAUGCGCAGAUAUCGGGAAGAACACCUGUGGCGAAGGCGGCUCUCUGGGACGGUACUGACGCUGAGACGCGAAAGCGUGGGGAGCAAACAGGAUUAGAUACCCUGGUAGUCCACGCCGUAAACGAUGGGUGCUAGGUGUGGGGAGUGUCGACUCUCUCCGUGCCGAAGCUAACGCAUUAAGCACCCCGCCUGGGGAGUACGGCCGCAAGGCUA